UCUCCUUCUGGAGAAGGUUAUCAUGGCGGACGGGUGAGUAGCGCGUAAAGAACUUGCCUCUUGGUCUGGGAUAACAGUUGGAAACGACUGAUAAGACUAGAUAUUAUAAUUUACUCGCAUGAGUGGGUUAUGAAAAGCUAUGCCAAGAGAGAGCUUUGCGUCCUAUUAGCUAGUUGGUGAGGUAAAGGCUCACCAAGGCGAUGAUAGGUAGCCGGCCUGAGAGGGUGAACGGCCACAAGGGGACUGAGAUACGGCCCUUACUCUUACGGGAGGCAGCAGUGGGGAAUAUUGGACAAUGGAGGCAACUCUGAUCCAGCAAUUCUGUGUGCACGAUGACGGUCUUCGGAUUGUAAAGUGCUUUCAGUUGGGAAGAAACGAUGACGGUACCAACAGAAGAAGCGACGGCUAAAUACGUGCCAGCAGCCGCGGUAAUACGUAUGUCGCGAGCGUUAUCCGGAAUUAUUGGGCAUAAAGGGCAUCUAGGCGGUUUAGCAAGUCAGAGGUGAAAACUUACGGCUCAACCGUGAGCUUGCCUUUGAAACUGUUAAACUAGAGUGUUGGAGAGGUGGGCGGAACUACUCGAGUAGAGGUGAAAUUCGUAGAUAUGUGUAGGAAUGCCGAUGAUGAAGAUAGCUCACUGGACGACAACUGA
This 652-nucleotide ribosomal RNA is filed under the name uncultured bacterium. Its description in RNAcentral is "bacterial SSU rRNA". It matches the Rfam family "Bacterial small subunit ribosomal RNA", at positions 74 to 743 of the family's 1533-position model. The record is from RNAcentral.